RNAcentral lists this microRNA precursor (58 nucleotides) under Ascaris suum (pig roundworm). Its description in RNAcentral is "Asu-Mir-5359_pre stem-loop". The record is from RNAcentral. Lineage: Eukaryota; Metazoa; Nematoda; Chromadorea; Rhabditida; Ascarididae.
UCUGGGAUUGUCUAUAUUGGUAAAAGUGAAUGCAUACCAAUAUCCACAAUCCUUGAGC